GCGCGAAAACUUUACAAUGCUGGCAACAGCGAUAAGGGAACCUCGCGUGCCAGGUUACACAUCUGGCUAUCGAGAUGCCUAAAAAGCAUUUCAUAGCAAGGGCCGGGCAAGACCGGUGCCAGCCGCCGCGGUAACACCGGCGGCUCGAGUGGUAACCGUUAUUAUUGGGUCUAAAGGGUCUGUAGCCGGCCUGAUAAGUCUCUUGAGAAAUCUGGCAGCUUAACUGUCAGGCUUUCAGGAGAUACUGUCUGGCUCGAGGCCGGGAGAGGUGAGAGGUACUUCAGGGGUAGGGGUGAAAUCUUGUAAUCCUUGAAGGACCACCAGUGGCGAAGGCGUCUCACCAGAACGGACCUGACGGCAAGGGACGAAAGCUAGGGGCACGAACC
This 386-nucleotide ribosomal RNA is filed under the name uncultured prokaryote. RNAcentral describes it as "bacterial SSU rRNA". It matches the Rfam family "Archaeal small subunit ribosomal RNA", at positions 339 to 725 of the family's 1478-position model. The record is from RNAcentral.